AGGAUCGAUCAGUUGGGAGAGGCCUUCACUGCUGGUCAGAAGUGGGCGGGCCCAGGUGACUAGGUUCUCAGGGGUCUCAUCUUGUGACAUGAACACGGGCUUCCGACCAGUGAACAGCUCGAGCAGUACAACACCGUAGCUGUAGACGUCGCUUUUGACGUCCAGAUGGCCUGUCAUUGCGUAUUCAGGAGCAACAUACCCGAACGUUCCCAUGACUCGAGUAGAAACAUG
Molecule: unclassified non-coding RNA, 231 nt
Filed under: Hevea brasiliensis (rubber tree)
Lineage: Eukaryota; Viridiplantae; Streptophyta; Magnoliopsida; Malpighiales; Euphorbiaceae
Source: RNAcentral